RNAcentral lists this ribosomal RNA (326 nucleotides) under uncultured soil bacterium. RNAcentral describes it as "bacterial SSU rRNA". It matches the Rfam family "Bacterial small subunit ribosomal RNA", at positions 26 to 351 of the family's 1533-position model. The record is from RNAcentral.
AGAUUGAACGCUGGCGGCAGGCCUAACACAUGCAAGUCGAGCGGCAGCACGGGUACUUGUACCUGGUGGCGAGCGGCGGACGGGUGAGUAAUGCCUAGGAAUCUGCCUGGUAGUGGGGGAUAACGCUCGGAAACGGACGCUAAUACCGCAUACGUCCUACGGGAGAAAGCAGGGGACCUUCGGGCCUUGCGCUAUCAGAUGAGCCUAGGUCGGAUUAGCUAGUUGGUGAGGUAAUGGCUCACCGAAGGCGACGAUCCGUAACUGGUCUGAGAGGAUGAUCAGUCACACUGGAACUGAGACACGGUCCAGACUCCGUACGGGAGCAG